AACGAACGCUGGCGGCAUGCCUAACACAUGCAAGUCGAACGAAGCCUUCGGGCUUAGUGGCGCACGGGUGCGUAACGCGUGGGAACCUACCAUCAGGUUCGGAAUAACAGUUAGAAAUGACUGCUAAUACCGGAUAAUGUCUUCGGACCAAAGAUUUAUCGCCUUUUGAUGGGCCCGCGUUGGAUUAGCUAGUUGGUGGGGUAAAGGCCUACCAAGGCGACGAUCCAUAGCUGGUCUGAGAGGAUGAUCAGCCACACUGGGACUGAGACACGGCCCAGACUCCUACGGGAGGCAGCAGUGGGGAAUAUUGGACAAUGGGCGAAAGCCUGAUCCAGCAAUGCCGCGUGAGUGAUGAAGGCCUUAGGGUUGUAAAGCUCUUUUACCAGGGAUGAUAAUGACAGUACCUGGAGAAUAAGCUCCGGCUAACUCCGUGCCAGCAGCCGCGGUAAAGUCUGUACU
RNAcentral lists this ribosomal RNA (459 nucleotides) under uncultured bacterium. Its description in RNAcentral is "bacterial SSU rRNA". It matches the Rfam family "Bacterial small subunit ribosomal RNA", at positions 29 to 531 of the family's 1533-position model. The record is from RNAcentral.